CGCGAAAACUUUACAAUGCCGGCAACGGCGAUAAGGGAACCUCGAGUGCCAGGUUACAAAUCUGGCUGUCGUGAUGCCUAAAAAGCAUUGCAUAGCAAGGGCCGGGCAAGACCGGUGCCAGCCGCCGCGGUAACACCGGCGGCUCGAGUGGUAACCGUUAUUAUUGGGUCUAAAGGGUCUGUAGCCGGCCGGGUAAGUCUCUUGGGAAAUCUGGCAGCUUAACUGUCAGGCUUUCAGGAGAUACUGCCUGGCUCGAGGCCGGGAGAGGUGAGAGGUACUUCAGGGGUAGGGGUGAAAUCUUGUAAUCCUUGAAGGACCACCAGUGGCGAAGGCGUCUCACCAGAACGGGCCUGACGGCAAGGGACGAAAGCUAGGGGCACGAACCGGAUUAGAUACCCGGGUAGUCCUAGCCGUAAACGAUACUCGCUAGGUGUCGGCCACGGUGCGACCGUGGUCGGUGCCGUAGGGAAGCCGUGAAGCGAGCCACCUGGGAAGUACGGCCGCAAGGCUGAAACUUAAAGGAAUUGGCGGGGGAGCAC
RNAcentral lists this ribosomal RNA (539 nucleotides) under uncultured archaeon. RNAcentral describes it as "bacterial SSU rRNA". It matches the Rfam family "Archaeal small subunit ribosomal RNA", at positions 340 to 879 of the family's 1478-position model. The record is from RNAcentral.